CGAAGGAUGCAAGCGUUAUCCGGAUUCAUUGGGUUUAAAGGGAGCGUAGGUGGCCUUAUAAGUCAGCGGUGAAAUCUCUCAGCUUAACUGAGAAAUUGCCAUUGAUACUGUAGGGCUUGAGUACAGAUGCCGUUGGCGGAAUAUGACAUGUAGUGGUGAAAUACAUAGAGAUGUCAUAGAACACCGAUUGCGAAGGCAGCUGACGAAACUGUAACUGACACUGAGGCUCGAAAGUGCGGGGAUCAAGCAGGAUUAGAUACCCUGGUAGUCCGCACUGUAAACGAUGAUUACUCGCUGCUGGAGGGCAACCUUCAGUGGCUUAGCAAAAGCGAUAAGUAAUCCGCCUGGGGAGUACGCCGGCAACGGUG
Molecule: ribosomal RNA, 368 nt
Filed under: uncultured organism
Description: bacterial SSU rRNA
Rfam family: Bacterial small subunit ribosomal RNA
Source: RNAcentral